AUUAGCUUUUAGGUCNUUUGUUUGAUAGGCAAUAAGAAUAAUGUAUUAUAUCAACAAGCUCCAAAAAAACAGUGGUCUAAGGUAGACAGGACGUAUACAAAGAGCACUAAAGGAUAAAAAGAAACCCCCUCCCUUAGCAAGAGCCCAACUAAUUUUUGGGUCUUUAUGGUAUUACAUUUUCUUGUGAUCUUGAUAUGGUUCCUCUUGCAUGUAUUGGUGGAGUCAUUGGGUUGAAUGAUGCUCAGCUUUUUCAGAGAACAAUAUUAUUACUUAUGGUUUGCGAUUUCUAUUCAUUUAAAAAUUCUACCAAACUCCUCAGUUCCUAUAAUAUAUGGUAUGCUUCCAGUUAGAAAUCAUUACACCUGGUUUUGUAAUGGUAGAAUCUAUAUUUGCUAAUUCUAUCAAACAUUUCUAGUAACAGUUGAUGCAUUUUGUUUCUUCGAUUGACCAAUUAAAUGAAAUUUGUCACGUACUUCUCAGUGGAGAUUUCUUAUUUGGCCUACUUCCUUCAGCACUUGCCUUCUUGUUUUUGCUUUCUUUAAUUUUCUUUACCACUUUUAUGUAUUUUUUUUUGGUUCAUAUGUUUGCUGGGGUGGAUUACCCUCUCUCUCUCUCUCUCUCUCUCUCUCUCUCUCUAUAUAUAUAUAUAUAUAUAUAUAAAUAAAGAAUUUUCUCACUUCCUUGAGUUCUUUUAACUUCUUUUAGUUUUUACUCUUAAAAUUGGAAUAUUGAUUAAGUGUUUUUUUGGGGAAAGUGAAGGCCAUAGCUUGGUAUACCUUUUUCUUAAGAAGUUAAAUCUUUUCCCAUUUUGUUCUUUUAUUUGAUUAGCUAUAGCUAACAAAACCUUUGAUACGGUAUGGGAUCAGUGCUCUUUAAAAGAACUCCUUAUGUCUUACACUUGUAUACAUGGUUAGGAUUCAAAAUAGUCUUUUGACCUUAAUUCUUUUAUGAUAAUAAUGUAGAAAUAAAGGUAUAGAAACACCUUGCUUUGCCAUCGACUAAAUCCGAGCAACAA
RNAcentral lists this long non-coding RNA (1015 nucleotides) under Vitis vinifera (wine grape). RNAcentral's name for it is "long non-coding RNA (VVIN_LNC007931)". Lineage: Eukaryota; Viridiplantae; Streptophyta; Magnoliopsida; Vitales; Vitaceae. The record is from RNAcentral.